RNAcentral lists this ribosomal RNA (243 nucleotides) under uncultured bacterium. Its description in RNAcentral is "partial 16S ribosomal RNA". It matches the Rfam family "Bacterial small subunit ribosomal RNA", at positions 57 to 305 of the family's 1533-position model. The record is from RNAcentral.
GCAAGUCGAGCGAGAAAGCACUUGGGUGUGAGUAGAGCGGCGGACGGGUGAGUAACGCGUAGGAAUCUACCUGGUAGCGGGGGACAACUCGGGGAAACUCGAGCUAAUACCGCAUACGCCCUUCGGGGGAAAGCGGGGGACCUUCGGGCCUCGCACUAUCAGAUGAGCCUGCGUCGGAUUAGCUUGUUGGUGAGGUAAAGGCUCACCAAGGCGACGAUCCGUAGCUGGUCUGAGAGGAUGAUC